UCUUCGAUGGUCUAGUGGUCAUGAUUUCCGCUUGUCAGCCUCUGGUAACAAGCGCGGGAGACCGGGGUUCGAUUCCCCGUCGGAGAG
RNAcentral lists this transfer RNA (87 nucleotides) under Didymella glomerata. RNAcentral describes it as "Peyronellaea glomerata tRNA". It matches the Rfam family "tRNA". From Rfam's summary of the family: Transfer RNA (tRNA) molecules are approximately 80 nucleotides in length. Their secondary structure includes four short double-helical elements and three loops (D, anti-codon, and T loops). Further hydrogen bonds mediate the characteristic L-shaped molecular structure. tRNAs have two regions of fundamental functional importance: the anti-codon, which is responsible for specific mRNA codon recognition, and the 3' end, to which the tRNAs corresponding amino acid is attached (by aminoacyl-tRNA synthetases). tRNAs cope with the degeneracy of the genetic code in two manners: having more than one tRNA (with a specific anti-codon) for a particular amino acid; and 'wobble' base-pairing, i.e. permitting non-standard base-pairing at the 3rd anti-codon position. Lineage: Eukaryota; Fungi; Ascomycota; Dothideomycetes; Pleosporales; Didymellaceae. The record is from Rfam by way of RNAcentral.